GGAGCACGCCGCGUGAGUGAUGAAGGUUUUCGGAUCGUAAAGCUCUGUUGUUAGGGAAGAACAAGUACCGUUCGAAUAGGGCGGUACCUUGACGGUACCUAACCAGAAAGCCACGGCUAACUACGUGCCAGCAGCCGCGGUAAUACGUAGGUGGCAAGCGUUGUCCGGAAUUAUUGGGCGUAAAGGGCUCGCAGGCGGUUUCUUAAGUCUGAUGUGAAAGCCCCCGGCUCAACCGGGGAGGGUCAUUGGAAACUGGGGAACUUGAGUGCAGAAGAGGAGAGUGGAAUUCCACGUGUAGCGGUGAAAUGCGUAGAGAUGUGGAGGAACACCAGUGGCGAAGGCGACUCUCUGGUCUGUAACUGACGCUGAGGAGCGAAAGCGUGGGGAGCGAACAGGAUUAGAUACCCUGGUAGUCCACGCCGUAAACGAUGAGUGCUAAGUGUUAGGGGGUUUCCGCCCCUUAGUGCUGCAGCUAACGCAUUAAGCACUCCGCCUGGGGAGUACGGUCGCAAGACUGAAACUCAAAGAAAUUUGACGGA
Molecule: ribosomal RNA, 539 nt
Filed under: Bacillus sp. (in: firmicutes)
Lineage: Bacteria; Bacillati; Bacillota; Bacilli; Caryophanales; Bacillaceae
Description: bacterial SSU rRNA
Rfam family: Bacterial small subunit ribosomal RNA
Source: RNAcentral